Molecule: ribosomal RNA, 429 nt
Filed under: Pseudomonadota bacterium
Lineage: Bacteria; Pseudomonadati; Pseudomonadota
Description: Proteobacteria bacterium partial 16S ribosomal RNA
Rfam family: Bacterial small subunit ribosomal RNA
Source: RNAcentral
UGGGGAAUAUUGGACAAUGGGCGAAAGCCUGAUCCAGCCAUGCCGCGUGUGUGAAGAAGGUCUUCGGAUUGUAAAGCACUUUAAGUUGGGAGGAAGGGCAGUAAGCGAAUACCUUGCUGUUUUGACGUUACCGACAGAAUAAGCACCGGCUAACUCUGUGCCAGCAGCCGCGGUAAUACAGAGGGUGCAAGCGUUAAUCGGAAUUACUGGGCGUAAAGCGCGCGUAGGUGGUUCGUUAAGUUGAAUGUGAAAGCCCCGGGCUCAACCUGGGAACUGCAUCCAAAACUGGCGAGCUAGAGUAGGGCAGAGGGUGGUGGAAUUUCCUGUGUAGCGGUGAAAUGCGUAGAUAUAGGAAGGAACACCAGUGGCGAAGGCGACCACCUGGGCUCAUACUGACGCUGAGGUACGAAAGCAUGGGGAGCAAACAGG